AUUACCAUGCAAGUCGAGCGGAGAGAGGUAGCUUGCUACUGAUCUUAGCGGCGGACGGGUGAGUAAUGCUUAGGAAUCUGCCUAUUAGUGGGGGACAACAUUUCGAAAGGAAUGCUAAUACCGCAUACGUCCUACGGGAGAAAGCAGGGGAUCUUCGGACCUUGCGCUAAUAGAUGAGCCUAAGUCGGAUUAGCUAGUUGGUGGGGUAAAGGCCUACCAAGGCGACGAUCUGUAGCGGGUCUGAGAGGAUGAUCCGCCACACUGGGACUGAGACACGGCCCAGACUCCUACGGGAGGCAGCAGUGGGGAAUAUUGGACAAUGGGCGCAAGCCUGAUCCAGCCAUGCCGCGUGUGUGAAGAAGGCCUUAUGGUUGUAAAGCACUUUAAGCGAGGAGGAGGCUACUUUAGAUAAUACCUAGAGAUAGUGGACGUUACUCGCAGAAUAAGCACCGGCUAACUCUGUGCCAGCAGCCGCGGUAAUACAGAGGGUGCAAGCGUUAAUCGGAUUUACUGGGCGUAAAGCGCGCGUAGGCGGCUAAUUAAGUCAAAUGUGAAAUCCCCGAGCUUAACUUGGGAAUUGCAUUCGAUACUGGUUAGCUAGAGUGUGGGAGAGGAUGGUAGAAUUCCAGGUGUAGCGGUGAAAUGCGUAGAGAUCUGGAGGAAUACCGAUGGCGAAGGCAGCCAUCUGGCCUAACACUGACGCUGAGGUGCGAAAGCAUGGGGAGCAAACAGGAUUAGAUACCU
RNAcentral lists this ribosomal RNA (744 nucleotides) under Acinetobacter calcoaceticus. RNAcentral describes it as "bacterial SSU rRNA". It matches the Rfam family "Bacterial small subunit ribosomal RNA", at positions 48 to 787 of the family's 1533-position model. The record is from RNAcentral. Lineage: Bacteria; Pseudomonadati; Pseudomonadota; Gammaproteobacteria; Moraxellales; Moraxellaceae.